CCUACGGGAGGCAGCAGUGGGGAAUCUUGCGCAAGUGGGCGAAAGCCUGACGCAGCAACGCCGCGUGCGGGAAGAAGGCCCUCGGGUUGUAAACCGCUUUCAGCAGGUAACGAAAAUGACGGUACUUGCAGAAGAAGGUGCGGCCAACUACGUGCCAGCAGCCGCGGUGACACGUAGGCACCAAGCGUUGUCCGGAUUUAUUGGGCGUAAAGAGCUCGUAGGCGGUUCGGUAAGUCGGGUGUGAAAACUUUGGGCUUUAACCCAAAGCCUGCAUCUGAUACUGCUGUGACUAGAGUUCGGUAGGGGAGCGGGGAAUUCCUAGUGUAGCGGUGAAAUGCGCAGAUAUUAGGAGGAAACACCGGUGGCGAAGGCGCCGCUCUGGGCCGAUACUGACGCUGAGGAGCGAAAGCGUGGGUAGCAAACAGGAUUAGAAUACCCUGGUAGUCCACGCCGUAAACGUUGGGCACUAGGUGUGGGUUUCAACCAACGAAAACUACGCGCCGUCGCUACGACAUAAUAGCCGCCCGUCGGGUAGGUACGGACCGGCCGACGUAAACGUAAACGUAAAGAAAGUAAGUAGACGUAGAGAGAGCGACGACGACGACAGGAGAGGAG
Molecule: ribosomal RNA, 615 nt
Filed under: uncultured bacterium
Lineage: Bacteria
Description: bacterial SSU rRNA
Rfam family: Bacterial small subunit ribosomal RNA (bases 1-529)
Source: RNAcentral